This 2929-nucleotide ribosomal RNA is filed under the name Escherichia coli. RNAcentral's name for it is "23S ribosomal RNA". It matches the Rfam family "Bacterial large subunit ribosomal RNA". Lineage: Bacteria; Pseudomonadati; Pseudomonadota; Gammaproteobacteria; Enterobacterales; Enterobacteriaceae. The record is from RNAcentral.
GGGUUGUGAGGUUAAGCGACUAAGCGUACACGGUGGAUGCCCUGGCAGUCAGAGGCGAUGAAGGACGUGCUAAUCUGCGAUAAGCGUCGGUAAGGUGAUAUGAACCGUUAUAACCGGCGAUUUCCGAAUGGGGAAACCCAGUGUGUUUCGACACACUAUCAUUAACUGAAUCCAUAGGUUAAUGAGGCGAACCGGGGGAACUGAAACAUCUAAGUACCCCGAGGAAAAGAAAUCAACCGAGAUUCCCCCAGUAGCGGCGAGCGAACGGGGAGGAGCCCAGAGCCUGAAUCAGUGUGUGUGUUAGUGGAAGCGUCUGGAAAGGCGCGCGAUACAGGGUGACAGCCCCGUACACAAAAAUGCACAUGCUGUGAGCUCGAUGAGUAGGGCGGGACACGUGGUAUCCUGUCUGAAUAUGGGGGGACCAUCCUCCAAGGCUAAAUACUCCUGACUGACCGAUAGUGAACCAGUACCGUGAGGGAAAGGCGAAAAGAACCCCGGCGAGGGGAGUGAAAAAGAACCUGAAACCGUGUACGUACAAGCAGUGGGAGCCUCUUUUAUGGGGUGACUGCGUACCUUUUGUAUAAUGGGUCAGCGACUUAUAUUCUGUAGCAAGGUUAACCGAAUAGGGGAGCCGAAGGGAAACCGAGUCUUAACUGGGCGUUAAGUUGCAGGGUAUAGACCCGAAACCCGGUGAUCUAGCCAUGGGCAGGUUGAAGGUUGGGUAACACUAACUGGAGGACCGAACCGACUAAUGUUGAAAAAUUAGCGGAUGACUUGUGGCUGGGGGUGAAAGGCCAAUCAAACCGGGAGAUAGCUGGUUCUCCCCGAAAGCUAUUUAGGUAGCGCCUCGUGAAUUCAUCUCCGGGGGUAGAGCACUGUUUCGGCAAGGGGGUCAUCCCGACUUACCAACCCGAUGCAAACUGCGAAUACCGGAGAAUGUUAUCACGGGAGACACACGGCGGGUGCUAACGUCCGUCGUGAAGAGGGAAACAACCCAGACCGCCAGCUAAGGUCCCAAAGUCAUGGUUAAGUGGGAAACGAUGUGGGAAGGCCCAGACAGCCAGGAUGUUGGCUUAGAAGCAGCCAUCAUUUAAAGAAAGCGUAAUAGCUCACUGGUCGAGUCGGCCUGCGCGGAAGAUGUAACGGGGCUAAACCAUGCACCGAAGCUGCGGCAGCGACACUGUGUGUUGUUGGGUAGGGGAGCGUUCUGUAAGCCUGUGAAGGUGUACUGUGAGGUAUGCUGGAGGUAUCAGAAGUGCGAAUGCUGACAUAAGUAACGAUAAAGCGGGUGAAAAGCCCGCUCGCCGGAAGACCAAGGGUUCCUGUCCAACGUUAAUCGGGGCAGGGUGAGUCGACCCCUAAGGCGAGGCCGAAAGGCGUAGUCGAUGGGAAACAGGUUAAUAUUCCUGUACUUGGUGUUACUGCGAAGGGGGGACGGAGAAGGCUAUGUUGGCCGGGCGACGGUUGUCCCGGUUUAAGCGUGUAGGCUGGUUUUCCAGGCAAAUCCGGAAAAUCAAGGCUGAGGCGUGAUGACGAGGCACUACGGUGCUGAAGCAACAAAUGCCCUGCUUCCAGGAAAAGCCUCUAAGCAUCAGGUAACAUCAAAUCGUACCCCAAACCGACACAGGUGGUCAGGUAGAGAAUACCAAGGCGCUUGAGAGAACUCGGGUGAAGGAACUAGGCAAAAUGGUGCCGUAACUUCGGGAGAAGGCACGCUGAUAUGUAGGUGAAGUCCCUCGCGGAUGGAGCUGAAAUCAGUCGAAGAUACCAGCUGGCUGCAACUGUUUAUUAAAAACACAGCACUGUGCAAACACGAAAGUGGACGUAUACGGUGUGACGCCUGCCCGGUGCCGGAAGGUUAAUUGAUGGGGUCAGCGCAAGCGAAGCUCUUGAUCGAAGCCCCGGUAAACGGCGGCCGUAACUAUAACGGUCCUAAGGUAGCGAAAUUCCUUGUCGGGUAAGUUCCGACCUGCACGAAUGGCGUAAUGAUGGCCAGGCUGUCUCCACCCGAGACUCAGUGAAAUUGAACUCGCUGUGAAGAUGCAGUGUACCCGCGGCAAGACGGAAAGACCCCGUGAACCUUUACUAUAGCUUGACACUGAACAUUGAGCCUUGAUGUGUAGGAUAGGUGGGAGGCUUUGAAGUGUGGACGCCAGUCUGCAUGGAGCCGACCUUGAAAUACCACCCUUUAAUGUUUGAUGUUCUAACGUGGACCCGUGAUCCGGGUUGCGGACAGUGUCUGGUGGGUAGUUUGACUGGGGCGGUCUCCUCCUAAAGAGUAACGGAGGAGCACGAAGGUUGGCUAAUCCUGGUCGGACAUCAGGAGGUUAGUGCAAUGGCAUAAGCCAGCUUGACUGCGAGCGUGACGGCGCGAGCAGGUGCGAAAGCAGGUCAUAGUGAUCCGGUGGUUCUGAAUGGAAGGGCCAUCGCUCAACGGAUAAAAGGUACUCCGGGGAUAACAGGCUGAUACCGCCCAAGAGUUCAUAUCGACGGCGGUGUUUGGCACCUCGAUGUCGGCUCAUCACAUCCUGGGGCUGAAGUAGGUCCCAAGGGUAUGGCUGUUCGCCAUUUAAAGUGGUACGCGAGCUGGGUUUAGAACGUCGUGAGACAGUUCGGUCCCUAUCUGCCGUGGGCGCUGGAGAACUGAGGGGGGCUGCUCCUAGUACGAGAGGACCGGAGUGGACGCAUCACUGGUGUUCGGGUUGUCAUGCCAAUGGCACUGCCCGGUAGCUAAAUGCGGAAGAGAUAAGUGCUGAAAGCAUCUAAGCACGAAACUUGCCCCGAGAUGAGUUCUCCCUGACCCUUUAAGGGUCCUGAAGGAACGUUGAAGACGACGACGUUGAUAGGCCGGGUGUGUAAGCGCAGCGAUGCGUUGAGCUAACCGGUACUAAUGAACCGUGAGGCUUAACCUUACAACGCCGAAGCUGUU